UUAGAAGCGGACCUUUUCUUCUCUCAUCUCCCCUUUCCCUCUUCCUCUACCUCAAUCUCUUCCCCACUCCCCACUGCCGAUCCUCCCCACUCAUCAUCUCCGCCGUUCCAUUCCGCCCCCCCUCAACGCCGUCCCCGCCUCCACUGCUUUCGUCGAACACCUUCUGCCCGAGCAGGAGGAGGAUUGGGAUUUGAACAAUAAGGCGCAGAGCGACGUUUUCUAUCUCUAGAUCCACCGAAAGCCGAAGAGAUAUUCAGAAGUCCGACGCCGACACAAGGACCGAUGAUGCUUCUGGUCGAUAACGGUGACGAGGAGUAGCGAUGUGAGCUCGUGUGAGCAUCGGAAAGGCAGGGUAUCACCAAGGAGGCGACGGCCCGGUUCUCUAUGUCGGCGAGGAGAGAUCAGAAAUCAGGGAUUGAAGAAGAAGUUCCUCAAGGAAAGUGAAGGAUUUGGAACCCCUGAAGAGCAGUCACGAGGUUGAAGUACAUUACACAGUUCGAUUUGAGCGGCGACGAUAGGGGGACGCCUUUGAAGUUCACUGUCAGUAGAGGUGAGGGAGUUCAUUGACAGUAGGGCGACAAUAGGCCCUUGUUCUUCAGAUUUUCUAAAGCCACCCCCAGUUGCACAGAGAUCCUGUACCACCACCACCACCACCAGGACCCUCCUUCUCUCUCUCUCUCUCCAAGUAAAGAUUGGUAUUUUACAUCUUCACCAUUGUAUCAGUUGUCUGCUAUUUCCUUGCUAAUGGCUUCAUAGCCAUUCUGAUUUUGAUAUCCCAGUUCGCCUUUUAUGGGGCUGCUCUGCUACAUCUUUUCAUCAAGAAAAGGUUUCAAUUGGGGGGAAAAACUUCUCAAUGGUUUGUGAAUAUAGCCUCUGUUUUCUGUUCAUGGAAGGUGGGAAGGGUUGUAAGAGCUAAUCCACUAAUGGUUACAGCACUUGCUGCAAUUACUUUGGCAUGCUUGGUUCAUCCAGGUUAGGGUCUACUUGUUCUCUUGCUCUCUCAUGCUUUGUGCUGUCAUACUGCUCUUUGCAGUUUUUUGACAGCUUCAUUUCGCAGCCAUGCACGAAGACAUGAAUUAUUUGAUUAUAAGAAAGACGGAAAUGGUGGGCCUGACAAACUUACAUUCAAACGUGAUGGAUUAUCUUGAUGAGUGGGAUAAGCAAGAAUGCUUUAGAGGAGCUGUCAUUUGAAAGAAGUUCUGAUGAUCGCAUACCCCUUAUAUAUGCAAUAUCAUUAGGUUUGCCAUCCUUAAAAACACCGCUCAUUCAUGACAAUUGGUGGUCGAUGGAAUUCCACUGAUAGCUCUUUAAUUCAAACUGCAAUAAGAUAUGGAAAGGAUGUUGCGAAACUUGAUCUGCAGAACUACAAGAACUGGAAUCGUUUUCUUAAGAUACACUACGAUAGGAUUGGGAAAGAUGGAUUCUUUAGCCCAUAAAGAGAUUAUUGCAAAGUGGUGUGAUAAUAAGUCUUACGGAUUUGAUUUUGUACUCAUCUUAUCGAGUUAAGUGUAAGAUAUAUGUAGUGGCAUCUGUUAGGAAUGAAAAUUUUAUGAAGUGUUUCUUUUACAUUCAGCUUCUUAUAUAUAUGACAUGAGGGUAAUAUGAAUAUGACAUUUGAGCAAUAUAA
Rosa rugosa (rugosa rose) is the source of this 1627-nucleotide long non-coding RNA. RefSeq lists it as uncharacterized. NCBI's taxonomy places the organism in Eukaryota, Viridiplantae, Streptophyta, Magnoliopsida, Rosales, Rosaceae. The transcript is spliced from 10 exons. The record is from RefSeq and is a predicted model, not a curated record.